This is a long non-coding RNA of Sphaerodactylus townsendi, 676 nucleotides long. RefSeq lists it as uncharacterized. The transcript has 3 exons. NCBI's taxonomy places the organism in Eukaryota, Metazoa, Chordata, Lepidosauria, Squamata, Sphaerodactylidae. The record is from RefSeq and is a predicted model, not a curated record.
UCUGUCUCAAACCGGAUCAUCCUGCAGGAUGGUCUCAUGGGGACUAGAAAGGAAGAGCUCCCCCCUUUGAAUGGAACCCCCCCCAGGGCUCCAAGAUCGCAGACCCUCUAGGUGGACCCCUGGCACUAGCCAGGUGUUUGGGUUUCUACCGCCACAUCUUCCAGCCCUCUGACUUGGUCCCCUGCGGCUGAGUCAGCCGCCUCUUCAGAGGCUGUUUGGCCCAGGCCUCACCCCAUGAGCCCAGACAGAAGGGGGACCUUGGAGCACCCCCCCCUUUCUCCCCUGAGCCAGGCCCCAAGUGUGGCUCUUGUUCCUCGCCUCAGACUCCUGCCACAGCGAUGCAGGAGGGGGCCAGGAAGAAAGAGAUGGGGAAGGAAGGGGUGGGGGACGGGGGGCCCGAGGCCACCCCAUCCUGUGCACCUCCUCCUUCUCUGAGGGGAGUGCAGGUGAGAAAGGAGCCCAAGGUGGGAAAGAGGGGGAGCUGCGCUGGGGAGGACCACCGGGCUUGACCAUCUGCUGUCUUCCUGCCAGGGCUCAGCGGCAAGGGUGCCCCUCUCCUGUGGCACCUGGGGAGGGGUCAUCCCUGGAGGAGCAGGUGCUAUGACCUGAUCCGGGUUGGCGAGGAAGAAGGUUUCAAGGCCCAUGUGGCAGAAACCAUCUACAGGUUAUGGCAAGG